UGCGCAGGCGGACUAAUAAGUCAGAGGUGAAAUCCCACAGCUCAACUGUGGAACUGCCUUUGAUACUGUUAGUCUUGAGUGCAGUUGAGGUAGGCGGAAUGUGUCAUGUAGCGGUGAAAUGCUUAGAUAUGACACAGAACACCAAUCGUGAAGACAGCUUACCAAGCUGCUACUGACGCUCAGGCACGAAAGCGUGGGGAGCGAACAGGAUUAGAUACCCUGGUAGUCC
Molecule: ribosomal RNA, 229 nt
Filed under: uncultured bacterium
Lineage: Bacteria
Description: partial 16S ribosomal RNA
Rfam family: Bacterial small subunit ribosomal RNA
Source: RNAcentral